Molecule: non-coding RNA, 320 nt
Organism: Calypte anna (Anna's hummingbird)
Lineage: Eukaryota; Metazoa; Chordata; Aves; Apodiformes; Trochilidae
Source: Rfam
UGGAAAUGAUGAAAUAGAGAUAAUUGGAUGUCAUUUUGAAUGGAGUGUGUGUGUGAUAAAUGGAAUUUAAACCAAGUCAGACUUGGGGUGGGGGGUGGAGGAUGUGUGUGUGUGCAACAUGUAUGGAAAAGGCUUGAAAUGGGGGUCCUGAUUUUCAGUGCUGACCUCCGGAGUGCAUCUGAGGCGUGUUGUGAAGUUUUGGGGUGCCCCAUUCCAACACUGCCAGUGAUUAAAGCCCAAGCAAGCCCCCCAGAACAAGCCUAAGCAUCCUAAAUCUCUGACAGGUUCAUUCAUGACAGUGAUCCUGUAAUCUGAUCUGA